UACGAAGGGGGCUAGCGUUGUUCGGAAUUACUGGGCGUAAAGCGCACGUAGGCGGAUAUUUAAGUCAGGGGUGAAAUCCCAGAGCUCAACUCUGGAACUGCCUUUGAUACUGGGUAUCUCGAGUAUGGAAGAGGUGAGUGGAAUUCCGAGUGUAGAGGUGAAAUUCGUAGAUAUGCGGAGGAACACCAGUGGCGAAGGCGACUACCUGGACCAGCACUGACACUGAGGCACGAAAGCGUGGGGAGCAAUCAGG
This 253-nucleotide ribosomal RNA is filed under the name uncultured bacterium. Its description in RNAcentral is "partial 16S ribosomal RNA". It matches the Rfam family "Bacterial small subunit ribosomal RNA", at positions 524 to 776 of the family's 1533-position model. The record is from RNAcentral.